RNAcentral lists this ribosomal RNA (794 nucleotides) under uncultured archaeon. RNAcentral describes it as "bacterial SSU rRNA". It matches the Rfam family "Archaeal small subunit ribosomal RNA", at positions 85 to 879 of the family's 1478-position model. The record is from RNAcentral.
ACUGCUCAGUAACACGUGGAUAACCUACCCUUAGGACUGGGAUAACCUUGGGAAACUGAGGCUAAUACCGGAUAGGCAAUUUUUCCUGUAAUGGUUUUUUGUUUAAAUGUUUUUUCGCCUAAGGAUGGGUCUGCGGCCGAUUAGGUAGUUGGUUAGGUAAUGGCUUACCAAGCCGUUGAUCGGUACGGGUUGUGAGAGCAAGAGCCCGGAGAUGGAACCUGAGACAAGGUUCCAGGCCCUACGGGGUGCAGCAGGCGCGAAACCUCCGCAAUGUGAGAAAUCGCGACGGGGGGAUCCCAAGUGCCAUUCUUAACGGGAUGGCUUUUCAUUAGUGUAAAAAGCUUUUGGAAUAAGAGCUGGGCAAGACCGGUGCCAGCCGCCGCGGUAACACCGGCAGCUCUAGUGGUAGCAAUUUUUAUUGGGCCUAAAGCGUCCGUAGCCGGUUUAAUAAGUCUCUGGUGAAAUCCUGUAGCUUAACUGUGGGAAUUGCUGGAGAUACUAUUAGACUUGAGACCGGGAGAGGUUAGAGGUACUCCCAGGGUAGAGGUGAAAUUCUGUAAUCCUGGGAGGACCGCCUGUUGCGAAGGCGUCUAACUGGAACGGUUCUGACGGUGAGGGACGAAAGUUAGGGGCGCGAACCGGAUUAGAUACCCGGGUAGUCCUAACUGUAAACGAUGCGGACUUGGUGUUGGGGUGGCUUUGAGCUGCUCCAGUGCCGAAGGGAAGCUGUUAAGUCCGCCGCCUGGGAAGUACGGUCGCAAGACUGAAACUUAAAGGAAUUGGCGGGGGAGCAC